Molecule: transfer RNA, 74 nt
Filed under: Lentinula edodes (shiitake mushroom)
Lineage: Eukaryota; Fungi; Basidiomycota; Agaricomycetes; Agaricales; Omphalotaceae
Description: tRNA-Ile
Rfam family: tRNA
About the family: Transfer RNA (tRNA) molecules are approximately 80 nucleotides in length. Their secondary structure includes four short double-helical elements and three loops (D, anti-codon, and T loops).
Source: RNAcentral
GGUCGGAUAGCUCAGUUGGUUAGAGCAUCUGGAGUAUAACCAGAAGGUCCUGGGUUCAAUCCCCAGUCUGGUCA